GUUCCCUUAGCUCAGUUGGUUCCGCAAGGCUAGAGAGCAUCGGACUUUUAAUCCGAGGGUCAUGGGUUCGAGUCCCAUAGGGAACACCA
Molecule: transfer RNA, 89 nt
Filed under: Bacteriophage sp.
Description: tRNA-Lys
Rfam family: tRNA
About the family: Transfer RNA (tRNA) molecules are approximately 80 nucleotides in length. Their secondary structure includes four short double-helical elements and three loops (D, anti-codon, and T loops).
Source: RNAcentral